CAUGGCAAGUCGAACGAUGAAGCCCUUCGGGGUGGAUUAGUGGCGAACGGGUGAGUAACACGUGGGCAAUCUGCCCUUCACUCUGGGACAAGCCCUGGAAACGGGGUCUAAUACCGGAUAACACCUUCCUCUGCAUAGGGGUUGGUUAAAAGCUCCGGCGGUGAAGGAUGAGCCCGCGGCCUAUCAGCUUGUUGGUGGGGUAAUGGCCUACCAAGGCGACGACGGGUAGCCGGCCUGAGAGGGCGACCGGCCACACUGGGACUGAGACACGGCCCAGCUCCUACGGGAGGCAGCAGUGGGGAAUAUUGCACAAUGGGCGAAAGCCUGAUGCAGCGACGCCGCGUGAGGGAUGACGGCCUUCGGGUUGUAAACCUCUUUCAGCAGGGAAGAAGCGAAAGUGACGGUACCUGCAGAAGAAGCGCCGGCUAACUACGUGCCAGCAGCCGCGGUAAUACGUAGGGCGCAAGCGUUGUCCGGAAUUAUUGGGCGUAAAGAGCUCGUAGGCGGCUUGUCACGUCGGAUGUGAAAGCCCGGGGCUUAACCCCGGGUCUGCAUUCGAUACGGGCUAGCUAGAGUGUGGUAGGGGAGAUCGGAAUUCCUGGUGUAGCGGUGAAAUGCGCAGAUAUCAGGAGGAACACCGGUGGCGAAGGCGGAUCUCUGGGCCAUUACUGACGCUGAGGAGCGAAAGCGUGGGGAGCGAACAGGAUUAGAUACCCUGGUAGUCCACGCCGUAAACGUUGGGAACUAGGUGUUGGCGACAUUCCACGUCGUCGGUGCCGCAGCUAACGCAUUAAGUUCCCCGCCUGGGGAGUACGGCCGCAAGGCUAAAACUCAAAUGAAUUGACGGGGA
Molecule: ribosomal RNA, 850 nt
Filed under: Streptomyces sp. 0112ALTP79
Lineage: Bacteria; Bacillati; Actinomycetota; Actinomycetes; Kitasatosporales; Streptomycetaceae
Description: bacterial SSU rRNA
Rfam family: Bacterial small subunit ribosomal RNA
Source: RNAcentral